Molecule: ribosomal RNA, 910 nt
Filed under: uncultured bacterium
Lineage: Bacteria
Description: bacterial SSU rRNA
Rfam family: Bacterial small subunit ribosomal RNA
Source: RNAcentral
AGAGUUUGAUCCUGGCUCACGAUGAACGCUAGCGACAGGCCUAACACAUGCAAGUCGAGGGGCAGCACAAGGAGCAAUCUGAGGUGGCGACCGGCGCACGGGUGAGUAACACGUAUGCAACCUGCCUGUAAGCGGGGAAUAACCCGUUGAAAGACGGACUAAUACCGCAUAAUACUAAAUUACUGCAUGGUAAUUUAUUUAAACAUUUAUGGCUUACAGAUGGGCAUGCGCAUGAUUAGCUAGUUGGAGAGGUAACGGCUCCCCAAGGCAACGAUCAUUAGGGGUUCUGAGAGGAAGGUCCCCCACACUGGUACUGAGACACGGACCAGACUCCUACGGGAGGCAGCAGUGAGGAAUAUUGGUCAAUGGACGAGAGUCUGAACCAGCCAAGUCGCGUGCAGGAAGAAUGUCCUAUGGAUUGUAAACUGCUUUUGCAGGGGAAUAAAGUGAGCCACGUGUGGUUUUUUGUAUGUACUCUGCGAAUAAGGAUCGGCUAACUCCGUGCCAGCAGCCGCGGUAAUACGGAGGAUCCGAGCGUUAUCCGGAUUUAUUGGGUUUAAAGGGUGCGUAGGCGGGAUAAUAAGUCAGUGGUGAAAGUUUGCAGCUUAACUGUAAAAUUGCCGUUGAAACUGUUAUUCUUGAGAGUAGAUAAGGUAGGCGGAAUGUGUUGUGUAGCGGUGAAAUGCAUAGAUAUAACACAGAACCCCGAUUGCGAAGGCAGCUUACCGGGCUACAUCUGACGCUGAUGCACGAAAGCGUGGGGAUCAAACAGGAUUAGAUACCCUGGUAGUCCACGCAGUAAACGAUGAAUACUAGCUGUAUGCGAUAUACUGUAUGUGGCAAAGCGAAAGCAUUAAGUAUUCCACCUGGGGAGUACGUUCGCAAGAAUGAAACUCAAAGGAAAUUGACG